UAUAUAUUAUAUUAUAUUAUAUUAUAUAUACACCCUUCUCCUCUCUUUUUCCCCCUACUCGCUUAUCGCUUGGGGGCUUGUCUCUAUUUGAGUGAGUGUGAGUGAGUGAGAGAGACACUCUCGUUUCUUUGUCAUGUGUGUUUGUGUGUUUUGUGUGUUUGUGUUUGUGUGUAUUUGUGUUUGUGUGUUUUGUGUUUGUGCACACAAAACACACACGAAUACACAAAUACACAAAUACACACACACACAAACACACAAAACACACAAACACACAAACAAACACACAAAACACACAAACAAACAAACACACAAACAAACAAACACAAACAAACAAACAAACACAAACACACACACACACACACACAUCUGCUCGGGGGCUUGGCCCAACGACUUGGCGUUUUUCGACGGGUCGUGCGGAAAAUAGGGGUCCGUUGUGUGUUUUUGUGUUUGUGUGUUUGUGUGUGUUUGUGUUUGUGUGUUUUGUGUUUUGUGUUUGUGCACAAACACACACACACAAACACAUCUGCUUGGGGGCUUGGCCCAACGACUUGGCAUUUUUCGAUGGGUCGUGCGGAAAAUAGGGGUCCGUUGUGUUUGUUUGUGUUUUUGUGUUUGUGUGUUUGUGCACACACAAAACAUGUUUGCUUGGGGGCUUGGCCCAACGACUUGGCAUUUUUCGGCGGGUCGUGCGGAAAAUAGGGGUCCGUUGUGUUUUUGUGUUUGUGUGUUUUUGUGUUUUUGUGUUUUUGUGUUUGUGUGUGUUUUUGUGUUUGUGUGUGUUUGUGUUUGUGUGUUUGUGCACACAAAACAUGUUUGCUUGGGGGCUUGGCCCAACGACUUGGCAUUUUUCGACGGGUCGUGCGGAAAAAUAGGGGUCCGUUGUGUGUUUUUGUGUUUGUGUUUUUGUGUUUGUUUUUGUGUUUGUGUGUGUUUGUGUUUGUGUGUUUGUGCACACAAAACAUGUUUGCUUGGGGGCUUGGCCCAACGACUUGGCAUUUUUCGACGGGUCGUGCGGAAAAUGGGGGUCCGUUGUGUUUUUGUGUUUUUGUGUUUGUGCACACACAAAACAUGUUUGCUUGGGGGCUUGGCCCAACGACUUGGCAUUUUUCGACGGGUCGUGCGGAAAAAUAGGGGUCCGUUGUGUGUUUUUUGUGUUUGUUUGUGUUUGUGCACAAACACAAAACACAAAACACAAACACAAACACACCUAGUCGGGGACUUGACUUGGCAUUUUUCGGCCCUGCUCGGGGGCUUGUACCGAGCCGCCACCCCAGUUUUUAGACCCCACUAGGGGGCUUGUUAUGGCCGGCCAUGUCGUUUUUUGUGUGGAAUGGAAUUUGCCAAGACCGCCGGUUCGACCACCUCUUUAGGUGCACCCAUGUGUCGCACAUCAAAAUGAUGCCCCUCGUGUGCUCUAUGCAUGACCCGAUGCGAUGGGCGCGUUCGUGCGGGCGUGUUCGAUCUGGACGCUCGCCUCGCCAAAGUUCGGUCCCCCCCGGCCAAUUUUGACCCCCUUUUUUCGUAUUUUAAUUCUCGCGCCCCAACGGCUGCGAUUUUCCACCUUCCCAUUGCUAUCCGAUGCUCCCCGCGCUCUGGCCUAUCCAACGAACCCAGCCUCGCCCGUGCACCUAUCCGUUUGCCCUCGUUGACCCUCCCAAACGCCUGACAUCACCUAUGCCAUUUAUGCAACAAAUUCGACCUCACGCCCGUGCAAUCACAAGUACGCACAAACAAACGUAUAUGCACGCAACCACACCCCCAGGCACACACACAAACGUGCACACCGACACGACACGCAAACACACGGAUGCACAAACGCGAACGCACCGAAAAACACGCAGACGCACAAACGCAACACACGCAACACACACGCCCACAAACAUGCGCACGGACACGAACGACACAACAGGGGGACACAACAAAUGCCAACGCACACGCACAAGCAUGCACAAACACGACAUGCACUCAAACACACCGGCACAACAUUUAAAAUUGGUCUCAAACACCACACAGGCACCACACACAAACACGCACAGACACGCCCAUGCGGGGUGGGAGGGGGGGCUUGUCCCUCUGGCUCGAUGCACGUGGUCACGCUUGUGGGUUUGUGUGUGUGUGUGUGUGUGCUUUUGCCUUCACGUUGUUGUGCCACACACACACAAACACGACCUCAUGAAAAAAAACACGUUUGCUUGGGGGCUUGCUCUAGGGACUUUGCUGCUGCAAGGUGUCUCGGCCGGGCCGGUGGCCGGAAAAAUCCCGGCAAACCGCAAACCGGCCGGAGCACUUUUCUGGCACCUAAACUGGUCGGACCGUCCGAAAGUAUAUAU
Molecule: unclassified non-coding RNA, 2330 nt
Filed under: Acanthamoeba castellanii
Lineage: Eukaryota; Discosea; Longamoebia; Acanthamoebidae
Source: RNAcentral